Molecule: non-coding RNA, 389 nt
Organism: Arachis ipaensis
Lineage: Eukaryota; Viridiplantae; Streptophyta; Magnoliopsida; Fabales; Fabaceae
Source: RefSeq, a predicted model, not a curated record
AGCUGCCGCCGGUCCAGUUCGAAAUUGCAGCUGCUUCGUGUUGAAAUUCCGAGCUGAUUAUGCUGCUGCGAAAAUAUGUGGGGCUGUGCUUUGAAGCUGCCUUUGAUUUCGAGUUGAGGCGAAAAGAACUUAUGAGGCAUUUAGGUUAUGGAAUUUGCGUUCUGAGGAAGGGGCGCUUUCCAAAAUCUAUGUUUUAUGUAUUGGAAUUAUUAUAUAUGGAUACUGGUGUGAGAUAUUGUGUAUUUGGUGAUUGUAUCGGCCUUAUGUAUGGUUUGAUUUGUCUCGAUCGAUUAUGAAUGUUUGUUGGUUGGUUUGUUGUGCGGUUUUGUGAAACUGAAUGAUUUCGAGUUGAUUCCUUUAAAGAUUUGAGGUCGAGUUUAAUCCAUUGA